AAGAGAGCUGGUAUGCACCGAAAACUGCUAAUUUUCAUUACCUUGGUUAGACUCCAAGGCUCUCUGG
RNAcentral lists this transfer RNA (67 nucleotides) under Parascombrops philippinensis (sharptooth seabass). RNAcentral's name for it is "tRNA-Ser". The record is from RNAcentral. Lineage: Eukaryota; Metazoa; Chordata; Actinopteri; Acropomatiformes; Acropomatidae.